RNAcentral lists this ribosomal RNA (892 nucleotides) under uncultured bacterium. Its description in RNAcentral is "bacterial SSU rRNA". It matches the Rfam family "Bacterial small subunit ribosomal RNA", at positions 28 to 897 of the family's 1533-position model. The record is from RNAcentral.
AACGAACGCUGGCGGCGUGCUUAACACAUGCAAGUCGAACGUGAAAGGGGCUUCGGCCCUGAGUAAAGUGGCGCACGGGUGAGUAACGCGUGGAUAACCUACCCUGGAAUCUGGGAUAACAUCUCGAAAGGGGUGCUAAUACCGGAUAAGCCCACGGGGACUUUGGUCUCUGCGGGAAAAGGUGGCCUCUGAAUAUGCUACUGUUUUGGGAUGGGUCCGCGUACCAUUAGCUAGUUGGUAGGGUAAAGGCCUACCAAGGCGACGAUGGUUAGCUGGUCUGAGAGGAUGAUCAGCCACACUGGAACUGAGACACGGUCCAGACUCCUACGGGAGGCAGCAGUGGGGAAUUUUGCGCAAUGGGGGAAACCCUGACGCAGCAACGCCGCGUGAGUGAUGAAGGCCUUCGGGUCGUAAAGCUCUGUCAGAGGGGAAGAAAUGUGGGGCGGUUAAUACCCGUUUCACUUGACGGUACCCUCAAAGGAAGCACCGGCUAACUCCGUGCCAGCAGCCGCGGUAAUACGGAGGGUGCGAGCGUUGUUCGGAAUUAUUGGGCGUAAAGCGCGUGUAGGCGGUCUUUUAAGUCUGAUGUGAAAGCCCUGGGCUCAACCUGGGAAGUGCAUUGGAAACUGGGAGACUUGAAUACGGGAGAGGGUAGUGGAAUUCCUAGUGUAGGAGUGAAAUCCGUAGAUAUUAGGAGGAACACCGGUGGCGAAGGCGGCUACCUGGACCGAUAUUGACGCUGAGACGCGAAAGCGUGGGGAGCAAACAGGAUUAGAUACCCUGGUAGUCCACGCCGUAAACGAUGAGUACUAGGUGUUGCGGGUAUUGACCCCUGCAGUGCCGCAGCUAACGCAUUAAGUACUCCGCCUGGGAAGUACGGUCGCAAGACUAA